This 749-nucleotide ribosomal RNA is filed under the name Gintarasiella aggregata. RNAcentral describes it as "mitochondrial SSU rRNA". It matches the Rfam family "Bacterial small subunit ribosomal RNA", at positions 352 to 1206 of the family's 1533-position model. Lineage: Eukaryota; Fungi; Ascomycota; Lecanoromycetes; Teloschistales; Teloschistaceae. The record is from RNAcentral.
CUUGGAGGAAUGUAUAGCAACUGCUAGUUGCACUAAAAACUUUAGUGUAAAAUCAACUUAGUUGAAUAAAAUUCUGGGUAGAAUUAUGAUAAUGACAUUAUCUGUCCAUAAGUCUUGACCAAAUUACGUGCCAGCAGUCGCGGUAAUACGUAGAAGACAAGUGUUAUUCAUCUUUAAUAGGUUUAAAGGGUACUUAGACGGUAAAUCAAGCCUUAAAAAGGGACUAAUUUGCUAGAGUUUUAUGUGAAAAAGUAUUAAAGUACUGCUGGUGUAGAGAUGAAAUUCUGUCAUACCUUGAAUGGCACAGGUUAAGGCGAAAGCAUCUUUUUAUGUAAAAACUGACGUUGAAGGACGAAGGCUUUGUGUCUCGAACAGGAUUAGAUACCCUAGUAGUCUAAGCAGACAAUGAUGAAUGUCAUAGAUUAGAUGUAAUUUGAUCUAUAAAUGAAAGUGUAAGCAUUCCACCUCAAGAGUAAUUUGGCAACAUUGGAACUGAAAUCAUUAGACCGUUUCUGAAACCAGUAGUGAAGUAUGUUGUUUAAUUUGAUAAUCCGCAAAAAACCUUACCACAAUAUGAAUAGAUAUAUUUUAUCAUACAAGCGUUGCACGGCUGUCUUCAGUUAAUGUCGUGAGACUUUGGUUAGUUCCAUAAAAUUAACGUAAACCCUUACUUUAUUUACUAAUAAAGUAGUUCACCGCUAUAUUGGAUGUGAUAAGAGGGAUCAAGACAAGUCAUCAUGACCUAAAUA